RNAcentral lists this ribosomal RNA (277 nucleotides) under uncultured bacterium. RNAcentral describes it as "partial 16S ribosomal RNA". It matches the Rfam family "Bacterial small subunit ribosomal RNA", at positions 28 to 313 of the family's 1533-position model. The record is from RNAcentral.
GAUAAACGCUGGCGGCGUGCCUUACGCAUGCAAGUCGAACGGUGUCCUUCGGGGCACAGUGGCGGACGGGUGAGUAACACGUACGUGACCUAACGCAAAGGGGGGGAUACCCGCCCGAAAGGGUGGCUAAUACCGCAUGUGGUCGUCGGGGGGAGCCCGAUGAGUAAAGGACUUCGGUCCGCUUUGUGAGGGGCGUGCGGCCGAUUAGCUAGUUGGUGGGGUAAGGGCCUACCAAGGCGACGAUCGGUAGCUGGGCUGAGAGGCCGAACAGCCACAC